This 253-nucleotide ribosomal RNA is filed under the name uncultured bacterium. RNAcentral describes it as "partial 16S ribosomal RNA". It matches the Rfam family "Bacterial small subunit ribosomal RNA", at positions 524 to 776 of the family's 1533-position model. The record is from RNAcentral.
UACAGAGGUCUCAAGCGUUGUUCGGAUUCAUUGGGCGUAAAGGGUGCGUAGGUGGCGCGGUAAGUCGGGUGUGAAAUCUCGGAGCUUAACUCCGAAAUUGCAUUCGAUACUGCCGUGCUUGAGGACUGGAGAGGAGACUGGAAUUUACGGUGUAGCGGUGAAAUGCGUAGAUAUCGUAAGGAAGACCAGUGGCGAAGGCGGGUCUCUGGACAGUUCCUGACGCUGAGGCACGAAGGUCAGGGGAGCAAACGGG